UGAUACCCACAAUUAAGUUAGAUCAAUCAGGCUUGACAUAAGCAAAGCAGAUCAGCAAUUAGCUAGCAGCGGAUCGGUGAGUACUAUUUUUGGAGCAGCUGAUUCCGAUGAGACGAGGCUAAUAGCACAUGGAUCUGGAAAAGUAUCAUUGAUUCAUUGGAUGAUGAAGAAGGGUCCAAUUUCCAACCUCAAUCGUCUGUGUUAAAAGGGAUCUUUGCUAAUUAGUCAAGAUUUAUCGGGAUUUCAUGGCCCGGCUUACAUGUAGCAAACAGUCGAAGAUGCUUAAGAUUCAAGAUUAGGCACUGUCAAAUAUACCUCUGUCAACUCAGUAGUUUCUUCUAUGUGCUUGUGAACUCCACACCUAUCAGGCUAUGUUCUUUUGUAAUAUAUACUUUGAUAUUUAAAUGCAUUCAGAGAACAGUAUUAUUCAGAAAGCGAUAUGUGUGUUGACCAAAACCAAAUGUAAUAUUCGACACUGAGCUCUGUUCUCAGGCAUCUUAUUUUUU
This 506-nucleotide long non-coding RNA is filed under the name Rosa chinensis. RNAcentral's name for it is "sRNA RchiOBHm_Chr3g0486101". The record is from RNAcentral. Lineage: Eukaryota; Viridiplantae; Streptophyta; Magnoliopsida; Rosales; Rosaceae.